This 354-nucleotide ribosomal RNA is filed under the name uncultured beta proteobacterium. RNAcentral describes it as "bacterial SSU rRNA". It matches the Rfam family "Bacterial small subunit ribosomal RNA", at positions 153 to 502 of the family's 1533-position model. The record is from RNAcentral. Lineage: Bacteria; Pseudomonadati; Pseudomonadota; Betaproteobacteria.
GAAAGGUGUGCUAAUACCGCAUACGCCCUGAGGGGGAAAGUGGGGGACCGCAAGGCCUCACGCUAAUCGAGCGGCCGAUGUCGGAUUAGCUAGUUGGUGGGGUAAAGGCUCACCAAGGCGACGAUCCGUAGCGGGUCUGAGAGGAUGAUCCGCCACACUGGGACUGAGACACGGCCCAGACUCCUACGGGAGGCAGCAGUGGGGAAUUUUGGACAAUGGGGGAAACCCUGAUCCAGCCAUGCCGCGUGUCUGAAGAAGGCCUUCGGGUUGUAAAGGACUUUUGUCCGGGAGGAAACCCUGAUCGUUAAUAGCGGUCGGGACUGACAGUACCGGAAGAAUAAGCACCGGCUAACU